Long non-coding RNA from Symphalangus syndactylus (siamang), 2286 nucleotides. RefSeq lists it as uncharacterized. The record is from RefSeq and is a predicted model, not a curated record. NCBI's taxonomy places the organism in Eukaryota, Metazoa, Chordata, Mammalia, Primates, Hylobatidae.
AAAAAACUUUAGUUGUAUAAUGUUCCCCAUCUUUCCCUGUCUGUAUAGAAGUCAAUAUUCCAGCGGGGCACGGUGGCUCAUGCCUGUAAUCCCAGCACUUUGGGAGGCCAAAGCAGGUGGAUCACAAGGUCAGGAGUUUGAGACCAGCCUGGCCAAAAUGGUGAAACCCCGUCUCUACUAAACAUACAAAAAUUAGCCUGACAUGGUGGCACAUGCCUGUAAUCCUAGCUACUCAAGGGCUGAGGCAAAAGAAUUGCUUGAACCCAGGAGGUAGAGGUUGCAGGGAGCUGAGACUGCACCACUGCACUACAGCCUGGGCAACAGAGGGAGACUCUGUCUCAGGAAAAAAAAAAAAAAAAAGUCAACAUUCCAGGAGGCCUUCUACAUUGAAUUAUGCCCCAAGGUAGCCCUCCAGCAUAUACCAUCCCCUUCCCUUAUUAUGCGUACUCUCCAGCCACCCUAUGGACCCAAUCCUAGAAGCUGAAAUAACCGAAUCUUUUUUUUGUUUUGUUUUUUGUUUUUUUGAGAGACAGGGUCUCAGUGGCGCAAUCACAGCUCACUGCAACCUCAACGUCCUGGGCUCAAGUGAUCAUCCCACCUCAGCCUCCCACCUGUAGCUGGAACCACAGGCAUACACCACCACACCCAGCUAAUUUUUAAAUUUAUUGUAGAGACGGGGUUUCACUAUGUUGCCAGGCUGAUCUUGAACUUCUGGACUAAAGUGAUCUUCCCACCUCAGGAAGGAGCCCAGUUUAUUUGUAUUUUUUUUUUUUUUUUGAGACGGAGUUUCGCUUUUCUUGCCCAGGCUGGAGUGCAAUGGCGCAAUCUCAGCUCACUGCAACCUCCGCUUCCCGGGUUCACGUGAUUCUCCUGCCUCAGCCUCCCGAGUAGCUGCGAUUACAGGCAUGUGCCACCAUGCCCGGCUAAUUUUGUAUUUUUAGUAGAGACGGGGUUUCUCCGUAUUGGUCAGGCUGGUCUCGAACUCCCGAACUCAGGUGAUCCGCCCGCCUCAGCCUCCCAAAGUGCUGGGAUUACAUGCAUGAGCCACGGCGCCUGGCCAGGAAAGAGCCCAAUCUUAAAACCCUUUGGCCCUCAGAAAACCUGAGCCCAUCAGCCUGUCACUUUUUCCUUUUCCUGACUCCCAGAGAUUCAGGACCUGAGUGAAAACCAAUGUCCCAGCACCACUGCCUUGCUGCCCUAACCCCAGGCCAAGGACAACGUCACCCUCUGCUCAUGUACCUUUUUUGCAUGGGUCCAAGACCUAUGGAAGUGGGAUAAGUUGAAAAGAAACUGGGACUUCCUUGUAGAAAGGGCCCUUUACUAACCAGUAGUGAGUGGGAUGAACCUCAUGCCAUCUCUGCAUUACCCUUCUCAUCUCAUUUCCCUAGAGGAAGGCCUGGCCAGAUGGCUCUCCCCUUCUCUAGGAUCCAAGGGACUGGAGAACUGGCACAAAGAAAUGAGUUCAGGGAAGGCAAGAGCUUGCCUCAGGGAAUUACGAUGCCCCUGCUCCUGGGCAGAGCACCGGGGACGCAGACAAGUCUUCCGCUAGCUCCUGGCUGCCUCUGUAGACCCACUAGCAUUCUACAUUUAACUCUCCUCAUAUUAGGACUGGAGUUUUCGGCAUCAAAGACAUCAGGUCCUGUCAAAAGCUCCCUGUCACCUUUGAAUCGUGGAUCCUUUGGGAUUCCCCAAAUCCUGAGUGAGAAAGUUCACCUUCCAGGACUUUCCAUGCUCCUCCGGCAAGGACAAUAUGGGCAAAGUGCUAAGAUUUUGGACUACGAGGUUUGGCGAUGCCAGUGCUCUCAGGACAGGAAGGGCACAGGUCUUGAACCUUGAAGAUGAAGAGAGAUGGAGCAGGUGCUAAUCACCAGGCCUCUUCCAGAGCAGCUGGAGGACUCUGCCUUUGUAUGUGGUGUUUCUUCAACUUGGAAUGCCCUGCCUCCCGUUCUCCAACUGGCAAGCCUAGUAUUUUUUCAGGACUCUGCAAAGCCUUCCCUGACUGCCCCUGCAACACAAGGCAGAUGUGGUACCCUCACUGUGCCUCCGCAGCAGUACACAGGUUUAUCAGCGCUCUCCCCACGCGUGGUAGUCAGCUGUUCCUGGUCUGCCCCUCCCAUUAGACUGUGAGCUCUUAGAGGGAGGGGCUGUGCACCAUGGCUUAUUUAUCUUUGUGUAUUCCCAGCACCUACCUCUGUAAAUGUUAAAAAUAAUAGCUAUCAUUUACUGAUCAUCACCAUACUGUAAUUUCUAUACAUAAUAUCUAACAUAGAUACAUUAUUUCACUUC